GGGCCGGUAGCUCAGCCUGGCUUAGAGCACUUGGCUUUUAACCAAGGGGUCGAGGGUUCAAAUCCCUUCCGGCCCG
This 76-nucleotide transfer RNA is filed under the name Candidatus Woesearchaeota archaeon. Its description in RNAcentral is "tRNA-Lys". It matches the Rfam family "tRNA". Rfam says of the family: Transfer RNA (tRNA) molecules are approximately 80 nucleotides in length. Their secondary structure includes four short double-helical elements and three loops (D, anti-codon, and T loops). Lineage: Archaea; Nanobdellati; Candidatus Woesearchaeota. The record is from RNAcentral.